RNAcentral lists this long non-coding RNA (371 nucleotides) under Pan troglodytes (chimpanzee). RNAcentral describes it as "long non-coding RNA NONPTRT009462". The record is from RNAcentral. Lineage: Eukaryota; Metazoa; Chordata; Mammalia; Primates; Hominidae.
CGGGAAACGUCCAGAACCCCGAAAUGUGGAGAAAACAACCUUCUUUUCACGGGGGCGUGGCCCGCCGGUUGCAGUUCGCGAAAUUGGCAAAAUGAUGUAAACAGGGAAGUUCGGCAGAUUUCAGUUCAUUGUAAACUUGCCAAGGGAGCCGCCCACAGACACGAGAGAGCUGCUUUGGGACAGUGAAUUACUCUUCUUUUGAGACGGUCUAAUGAUGCCUGGGUGGUGCCUUCGUAGGACGGUCGUCACACCUGAACAAGGGGGUCCCCGGCCCCGGGCCCCAUGCUUUACUGGGCCCUGUUCUGUCCCUCUUCUGGCAUCAUCUCCCAUGGAGAAAAGAAUGUGUUGAAGCCAAGAAGAUGCUCCCCCCA